UGCCAGCAGCCGCGGUAAUACGGAGGGGGCUAGCGUUGUUCGGAAUUACUGGGCGUAAAGCGCACGUAGGCGGACUAUUAAGUCAGGGGUGAAAUCCCAGGGCUCAACCCUGGAACUGCCUUUGAUACUGGCAUUCUAGAGUUCGAGAGAGGUGAGUGGAAUUCCGAGUGUAGAGGUGAAAUCCGUAGAUAUUCGGAGGAACACCAGUGGCGAAGGCGGCUUUCUGGACCGAUACUGACGCUGAGACGCGAAAGCGUGGGGAGCAAACAGGAUUAGAUA
This 279-nucleotide ribosomal RNA is filed under the name uncultured bacterium. RNAcentral's name for it is "partial 16S ribosomal RNA". It matches the Rfam family "Bacterial small subunit ribosomal RNA", at positions 506 to 784 of the family's 1533-position model. The record is from RNAcentral.